RNAcentral lists this ribosomal RNA (1317 nucleotides) under Triticum aestivum (bread wheat). Its description in RNAcentral is "partial small subunit ribosomal RNA". Lineage: Eukaryota; Viridiplantae; Streptophyta; Magnoliopsida; Poales; Poaceae. The record is from RNAcentral.
AUGGCCAAUGGCCGCCUUGACCGUCCACUAAUCCACCGCGAGACAAAACUACAGAAAUAUACUACUGGGAGAAUAAUAAUAACACGGGAUCCCCACAUCACCCAACCCACCUGGUUCCCCUCACGUCGCCGUGCUUCGUUUGCGCGACCACAGCCCGCGAGCCAGCGCGACGAAGCCGGGGGGCGAUCCCUCCACCGCCGCCGGCGACCCCAUCCCCCGAAGCCGCCGGCGGUACCGGCCCACGCCGCCCUCCGCGAUCCCCCACCCGGCACAGAAAUCUUUUUUGUUGUUGUGAGUUAUCCGAAGUUCGCUUCAAACAUGAGUGCUGCUAAUCGUUCCCAACCCAUCAAGUUGAACAGGCCUGUCGUAGGCAAAGCACGAAAGUUGAAGGAUCUCAUGCUGAAAAGUGACAAUCGAGUGUGUGCUGAUUGUAGUGCACCUGACCCCAAAUGGGCGUCUUCUAAUAUCGGAGUAUUUCUUUGCUUAAAAUGUGGAGACGUCCACAGGGCCCUUGGACAAGACAUUUCAAACGUUUUGUCUUUAACUUUGGAUGAUUGGUCUGAUAGUGAUAUUGACUCCAUGAUUGAGGUUGGUGGAAACUCAUAUGCAAAUUCAAUUUAUGAGGCUUUUCUUCCAAAAGAUCACCCAAAACCUAAACCAGACUCACCAAUGGAAUAUCGUACCAAAUUUAUAAGAGCCAAGUAUGAAACACAAGAUUUUCUGAAGCCAAGUUUGCGCAUUAGCUCAAAGGCAGGUUUAGAAUCUACCAAUUCUCUGAACAGUGUGGAUAAUAGUUUCUCUAGCACUUCAAGGAAGCAUGCCCCAGAAGAUACAAGAGAAUUUGUUGGACAACUGAACAUUACAGUGGUAAAAGGUUCUGGGUUGGCGGUCAGAGAUAUGCUUACAAGUGAUCCUUAUGUUGUUUUAAGUCUUGGAGAGCAGAAGGCUCAAACAACAGUUAAAGCGAGUGACCUGAACCCGGUAUGGAAUGAGGUUCUUAAUCUAUCAGUUCCUCGAAAUUAUGGACCUUUAAAACUUGAAGUGUAUGAUCACGACACUUUUUCUGCUGACGAUAUCAUGGGGGAAGCAGAGAUAGAUCUGAAGCCAAUGAUCACAGCUGCUAUGGCCUUUGGAGACCCGUCGCGUCACGCGGACAUGCAAAUUGGAAGGUGGUUCAUGACCAGAGACAAUUGCCUGUUGAGCGACAGCAUUGUCAAUAUUUCGUCGGGAAAGGUAAAACAGGAAGUUUACCUAAAGCUGCAGAACGUAGAAUCAGGUGAGAUGGAGUUAGAACUGGAAUGGGCUCGUCUAGAUUAA